Long non-coding RNA from Lactuca sativa (garden lettuce), 654 nucleotides. RefSeq lists it as uncharacterized. NCBI's taxonomy places the organism in Eukaryota, Viridiplantae, Streptophyta, Magnoliopsida, Asterales, Asteraceae. The record is from RefSeq and is a predicted model, not a curated record.
CAUAACUUGUACCUAAAUUUUGAUAUGCUUUUUAGGUAUCAAAUGAUUUAUUCUUGGUGCUUAGUGCAUAAUUAGGACAUUGAAAUUCAAACCAGGAAAAAGGUUUAUAAUUAAAAAGCCAAAAAAAUGUUGAAAAAAAACAAGGUUGAAGGCUUUAAGCGUCGAAGUUAUGCUCGUUGUUUUCUGAGUUAUUCGUCAAUCGGGUUAAUUUAUGUUUGGCGUGCCUUCUCGCCAGUUGGACUGUUGUUAGCAGUGCAAGUAAUUUUUCAGAGGGGUUAAUGGUGGAUCAACAAUAAAGUUGAGAGCCUAGAUACUCAGGGUUGAUGAAAUAUCAGUAUUAUCAUUGAGAGAGUAGAUACCCAAGGUUAAUGAUUGAUCGGUACUGGAACCGAGAGAUGGUAACCGGGUGGAUUGACACAGCAGUCGAGAGCUUUUAUUUGUACGGUGGAUCAACACUAGAGCCGAGAGCCAUGUUUGUAUGCAUAGUAUGUGUAUUGUGGUAUAUGAUAUUUUUGGGAACUCACUAAGCUUCAUGUUUAUAGUUGUGGAAUAAAUGUUUUUCAGGUAAUUCUACUAUCAAAAGAAUGGCCCAACUUGACUGUACUACACGCAUGUUGCUAUUAAUUUAGUUACAGACUUCCUUAUUUUACGUAA